RNAcentral lists this long non-coding RNA (380 nucleotides) under Malus domestica (apple). RNAcentral's name for it is "long non-coding RNA (MDOM_LNC005538)". The record is from RNAcentral. Lineage: Eukaryota; Viridiplantae; Streptophyta; Magnoliopsida; Rosales; Rosaceae.
GUAGACAAGGAGAAGAAGGAUAAGAAAAAGAAGGACAAACAUAAGGAUGAAAAGGAAACUAAGGAGGGGCGUAAGCGCAAACUAGAGGAAGCCACAGAGAGCCCUGUUGCAGUUCCUGCGAAGAAAAGCAAAGGCGAAGAAGUUGAGCCUGAAGUUGAGAAGUCAGAAAAGAAAAAGAAGAAAAAGGACAAAGAGAAUGGCACCGUGGAUAAUGUUGAAGCUGGUUCACCUGAAGCAGAAAAGUCUGAGAAGAAGAAGAAGAAGAAGAAAAACAAAGACGCUGAGGACAAUGGUACUGUGGCUUCUGCCGGCGCUGGUGAUGGCGAGGCUGAUAAGAGUGAGAAAAAGAAGAAAAAGAAAAAGAGUAAAGCAGAUGCAGA